This 131-nucleotide small RNA is filed under the name Klebsiella pneumoniae. Its description in RNAcentral is "RtT sRNA". It matches the Rfam family "RtT RNA". From Rfam's summary of the family: This family represents a bacterial cis-regulatory element known as RtT RNA. The exact function of RtT is unknown although it is thought that it may be involved in changing the cellular response in relation to amino acid starvation. Lineage: Bacteria; Pseudomonadati; Pseudomonadota; Gammaproteobacteria; Enterobacterales; Enterobacteriaceae. The record is from RNAcentral.
UAUUCUGCCCCACGGGGAAGGAUGAGAAGCUUCGACCAAGGUUCGACUUGAGCGAAGCGAGAGAACGUUGCCGCAGGCAACGGCCCGAAGGCGAGGCGCUUUAGCGCCGAGUAAUCCUUCCCCCACCACUG